AACGAACGCUGGCGGCAUGCCUAACACAUGCAAGUCGAACGAGACCUUCGGGUCUAGUGGCGCACGGGUGCGUAACGCGUGGGAAUCUGCCCUUCGGUUGGGAAUAACUGAGAGAAAUUUCAGCUAAUACCUUAUAAUGUCUUCGGACCAAAGAUUUAUCGCCGAGGGAUGAGCCCGCGUAGGAUUAGGUAGUUGGUGGGGUAAUGGCCUACCAAGCCGACGAUCCUUAGCUGGUCUGAGAGGAUGAUCAGCCACACUGGGACUGAGACACGGCCCAGACUCCUACGGGAGGCAGCAGUGGGGAAUAUUGGACAAUGGGCGAAAGCCUGAUCCAGCGAUGCCGCGUGAGUGAUGAAGGCCUUAGGGUUGUAAAGCUCUUUUACCCGGGAUGAUAAUGACAGCACCGGGAGAAUAAGCUCCGGCUAACUCCGUGCCAGCAGCCGCCGUAA
Molecule: ribosomal RNA, 449 nt
Filed under: uncultured bacterium
Lineage: Bacteria
Description: partial 16S ribosomal RNA
Rfam family: Bacterial small subunit ribosomal RNA
Source: RNAcentral